CAGUCGCCACGGGAAUACGUAGGUGGCAAGCGUUGUCCGGAAUUAUUGGGCGUAAAGCGCGCGCAGGCGGAUAGGUCAGUCUGUCUUAAAAGUUCGGGGCUUAACCCCGUGAUGGGAUGGAAACUGCCAAUCUAGAGUAUCGGAGAGGAAAGUGGAAUUCCUAGUGUAGCGGUGAAAUGCGUAGAUAUUAGGAAGAACACCAGUGGCGAAGGCGACUUUCUGGACGAAAACUGACGCUGAGGCGCGAAAGCCAGGGGAGCGAACGGGACUAGAUACCCCCGUAGUCCCUGUCUCUUAUACC
RNAcentral lists this ribosomal RNA (301 nucleotides) under uncultured bacterium. Its description in RNAcentral is "partial 16S ribosomal RNA". It matches the Rfam family "Bacterial small subunit ribosomal RNA", at positions 509 to 808 of the family's 1533-position model. The record is from RNAcentral.